Molecule: ribosomal RNA, 420 nt
Filed under: uncultured soil bacterium
Lineage: Bacteria
Description: bacterial SSU rRNA
Rfam family: Bacterial small subunit ribosomal RNA
Source: RNAcentral
GGGACGAACGCUGGCGGCGUGCUUAGCACAUGCAAGUCGAGCGGAAAGGCCACUUCGGUGGUACUCGAGCGGCGAACGGGUGAGUAACACGUGAGUAAUCUGCCCCUGGCUUUGGGAUAGCCACCGGAAACGGUGAUUAAUACCGAAUAUGACAGACCCUCGCAUGGGGGUGUGUGGAAAGUUUUUCGGCCAGGGAUGUGCUCGCGGCCUAUCGGCUUGAUGGUGAGGUAAUGGCUCACCAUGGCUUCGACGGGUAGCCGGCCUGAGAGGGUGACCGGUCACGACGUGGGACUGAGACACGGCCCAGACCUCCGUACGGGAGGCAGGCAGGUAGGGGAAUAUUGGACAAGUGGGCGGAAGCCUGAUCCGAGCAACGCCGCGGUGAGGAUGGACCGGUCCGUUCGGGUUACGUAAACCUUC